GAGUUUGAUCCUGGCUCAGGAUAAACGCUGGCGGCGUGCCUAACACAUGCAAGUCGAACGCGCUCAGCAAUGAGCGAGUGGCGGACGGGUGAGUAACACGUGGGAACCUACCCUGAGGUGAGGAAUAACCCUGGGAAACCGGGGCUAAUACCGGCGAGAAAUCGCCGACAAGACCGCAUACGCUCUCAUAAGAGAGCAAAGCCGUAAGGCGCCACAGGAUGGGCCCCCGGCCGAUUAGCUAGCUGGUGAGGUAAGAGCUCACCAGGGCCACGAUCGGUAGCUGGUCUGAGAGGACGAUCAGCCACACUGGGAUUGAGAACGGCCCAGACUCCUACGGGGGGCAGCAGUGAGGAAUUUUCCGCAAUGGGCGAAAGUCUGACGGAGCGACGCCGCGUGCAGGAAGACGGCCUUCGGGUUGUAAACUGCUUUUCUGUGGGAAGAGGCAAGGACGUACCCAGGAAGAGCCCCGGCUAACUACGUGCCAGCAGCCGCGGUAAGACGUAGGGGGCGAGCGUUGUCCGGAGUUACUGGGCGUAAAGGGCGCGUAGGCGGUUUCUCGCGUAGCGGCCGACAGCCGGGGGCUUAACCCUCGGAGGUGUCGCUUGACGGGGAGACUGGAGGGCUACAGAGGAACUGGGAAGUCCGGGUGGAGCGGUGAAAUGCGUAGAGACCCGGAGGAACACCGAAGGCGAAGGCAAGGUUCUGGGUAGCCACUGACGCUGAGGCGCGAAAGCCAGGGGAGCGAACGGGAUUAGAUACCCCGGUAGUCCUGGCUGUAAACGAUGACCAUCAGGUGUGCGGGGGAUCGACCCCCUGCGUGCCGGAGCUAACGUGUUCAAUGGUCCGCCUGGGGAGUACGGUCGCAAGAUUAAAACUCAAAGGAAUUGACGGGGACCCGCACAAGCAGCGGAGCGUGUGGUUUAAUUCGAAGCAACGCAAAGAACCUUACCAGGGUUUGACAUGGAGUUGCACCAGGUAGAGAUACCUGUCCCUUCGGGGCGGCUCCACAGGUGCUGCAUGGCUGUCGUCAGCUCGUGCCGUGAGGUGUUGGGUUAAGUCCCGCAACGAGCGCAACCCCUGUUGCCGGUUGGAUAUGUCCGGCGAGACUGCCGCGAGCAACGCGGAGGAAGGUGGGGAUGAUGUCAAGUCAGCACGGCCCUGACAUCCUGGGCGACACACACGCUACAAUGGCCGGGACAACGAGAAGCCAACCAGCGAUGGGGAGCGGAUCUCCACAAACCCGGUCUCAGUGCAGAUUGCAGGCUGCAACCCGCCUGCAUGAAGGAGGAGUUGCUAGUAACCGUGCGUCAGCACAGCACGGUGAAUACGUUCCCGGGUCUUGUACACACCGCCCGUCACACCACGAAAGUCGGCAACACCUGAAGCCGCCKGGCUAACCCGCAGGGGAGGCWGGCGUCGA
Molecule: ribosomal RNA, 1420 nt
Filed under: uncultured bacterium
Lineage: Bacteria
Description: 16S ribosomal RNA
Rfam family: Bacterial small subunit ribosomal RNA
Source: RNAcentral